GAAAUCUUAGUUAAUUAAUAACAUUAAUUUGUCAAAUUUAAAUUACUAUAAAUAGUAGAUUUUA
RNAcentral lists this transfer RNA (64 nucleotides) under unidentified. RNAcentral's name for it is "Cryptocephalus dimidiatipennis tRNA-Asp". The record is from RNAcentral.